RNAcentral lists this ribosomal RNA (253 nucleotides) under uncultured bacterium. Its description in RNAcentral is "partial 16S ribosomal RNA". It matches the Rfam family "Bacterial small subunit ribosomal RNA", at positions 524 to 776 of the family's 1533-position model. The record is from RNAcentral.
UACGGGGGGGGCAAGCGUUGUUCGGAAUUACUGGGCGUAAAGGGCUCGUAGGUGGCCAACUAAGUCAGACGUGAAAUCCCUCAGCUUAACUGGGGAACUGCGUCUGAUACUGGAUGACUUGAGUUUGGGAGAGGGAUGCGGAAUUCCAGGUGUAGCGGUGAAAUGCGUAGAUAUCUGGAGGAACACCGGUGGCGAAGGCGGCAUCCUGGACCGACACUGACACUGAGGAGCGAAAGCCAGGGGAGCAAACGGG